RNAcentral lists this ribosomal RNA (1568 nucleotides) under Escherichia coli. RNAcentral describes it as "partial 23S ribosomal RNA". It matches the Rfam family "Bacterial large subunit ribosomal RNA", at positions 1292 to 2838 of the family's 2925-position model. Lineage: Bacteria; Pseudomonadati; Pseudomonadota; Gammaproteobacteria; Enterobacterales; Enterobacteriaceae. The record is from RNAcentral.
GAAUGCUGACAUAAGUAACGAUAAAGCGGGUGAAAAGCCCGCUCGCCGGAAGACCAAGGGUUCCUGUCCAACGUUAAUCGGGGCAGGGUGAGUCGACCCCUAAGGCGAGGCCGAAAGGCGUAGUCGAUGGGAAACAGGUUAAUAUUCCUGUACUUGGUGUUACUGCGAAGGGGGGACGGAGAAGGCUAUGUUGGCCGGGCGACGGUUGUCCCGGUUUAAGCGUGUAGGCUGGUUUUCCAGGCAAAUCCGGAAAAUCAAGGCUGAGGCGUGAUGACGAGGCACUACGGUGCUGAAGCAACAAAUGCCCUGCUUCCAGGAAAAGCCUCUAAGCAUCAGGUAACAUCAAAUCGUACCCCAAACCGACACAGGUGGUCAGGUAGAGAAUACCAAGGCGCUUGAGAGAACUCGGGUGAAGGAACUAGGCAAAAUGGUGCCGUAACUUCGGGAGAAGGCACGCUGAUAUGUAGGUGAAGUCCCUCGCGGAUGGAGCUGAAAUCAGUCGAAGAUACCAGCUGGCUGCAACUGUUUAUUAAAAACACAGCACUGUGCAAACACGAAAGUGGACGUAUACGGUGUGACGCCUGCCCGGUGCCGGAAGGUUAAUUGAUGGGGUUAGCGGUAACGCGAAGCUCUUGAUCGAAGCCCCGGUAAACGGCGGCCGUAACUAUAACGGUCCUAAGGUAGCGAAAUUCCUUGUCGGGUAAGUUCCGACCUGCACGAAUGGCGUAAUGAUGGCCAGGCUGUCUCCACCCGAGACUCAGUGAAAUUGAACUCGCUGUGAAGAUGCAGUGUACCCGCGGCAAGACGGAAAGACCCCGUGAACCUUUACUAUAGCUUGACACUGAACAUUGAGCCUUGAUGUGUAGGAUAGGUGGGAGGCUUUGAAGUGUGGACGCCAGUCUGCAUGGAGCCGACCUUGAAAUACCACCCUUUAAUGUUUGAUGUUCUAACGUUGGCCCCUGAUCGGGGUUGCGGACAGUGUCUGGUGGGUAGUUUGACUGGGGCGGUCUCCUCCUAAAGAGUAACGGAGGAGCACGAAGGUUGGCUAAUCCUGGUCGGACAUCAGGAGGUUAGUGCAAUGGCAUAAGCCAGCUUGACUGCGAGCGUGACGGCGCGAGCAGGUGCGAAAGCAGGUCAUAGUGAUCCGGUGGUUCUGAAUGGAAGGGCCAUCGCUCAACGGAUAAAAGGUACUCCGGGGAUAACAGGCUGAUACCGCCCAAGAGUUCAUAUCGACGGCGGUGUUUGGCACCUCGAUGUCGGCUCAUCACAUCCUGGGGCUGAAGUAGGUCCCAAGGGUAUGGCUGUUCGCCAUUUAAAGUGGUACGCGAGCUGGGUUUAGAACGUCGUGAGACAGUUCGGUCCCUAUCUGCCGUGGGCGCUGGAGAACUGAGGGGGGCUGCUCCUAGUACGAGAGGACCGGAGUGGACGCAUCACUGGUGUUCGGGUUGUCAUGCCAAUGGCACUGCCCGGUAGCUAAAUGCGGAAGAGAUAAGUGCUGAAAGCAUCUAAGCACGAAACUUGCCCCGAGAUGAGUUCUCCCUGACCCUUUAAGGGUCCUGAAGGAACGU